RNAcentral lists this ribosomal RNA (266 nucleotides) under Salmonella enterica subsp. salamae serovar 13,22:z:-. RNAcentral describes it as "partial 23S ribosomal RNA". It matches the Rfam family "Bacterial large subunit ribosomal RNA", at positions 454 to 722 of the family's 2925-position model. The record is from RNAcentral. Lineage: Bacteria; Pseudomonadati; Pseudomonadota; Gammaproteobacteria; Enterobacterales; Enterobacteriaceae.
CAUCCUCCAAGGCUAAAUACUCCUGACUGACCGAUAGUGAACCAGUACCGUGAGGGAAAGGCGAAAAGAACCCCGGCGAGGGGAGUGAAAAAGAACCUGAAACCGUGUACGUACAAGCAGUGGGAGCACCCUUUGGGGUGUGACUGCGUACCUUUUGUAUAAUGGGUCAGCGACUUAUAUUCUGUAGCAAGGUUAACCGUAUAGGGGAGCCGCAGGGAAACCGAGUCUUAACCGGGCGUUAAGUUGCAGGGUAUAGACCCGAAACC